Lingula anatina is the source of this 651-nucleotide long non-coding RNA. RefSeq lists it as uncharacterized. The record is from RefSeq and is a predicted model, not a curated record. NCBI's taxonomy places the organism in Eukaryota, Metazoa, Brachiopoda, Lingulata, Lingulida, Lingulidae.
UGUAAGAAGAGGACGCAGGAUAGGUGUGGUGAAGGCAAAGACAGGAAUAUUUCAUCCAGCGUUGAAGUUCGGGACCAUUACGAUGUAUCCCAGGAUGAAACAAUUAUGUCUUCUUGUGAAAUGCACCUCUAUAUUAGGUUUGGAACUGCCAAAUCCGUUGCUGAGGCCCUGCUUUAUAAUAUCUUUCUCAGACCUCUGGUCGGAGGCCUAUUUUGGAACUCGACGAGACUCACGCACGCUCACGAGUGGAUUUUGGCGGAAACUGUGCAUGCUGAUAUUGUUAUUAUAAAAACUUUUAGCUUAAGACGUGAGAUUUUAACAUAUUGGAAUCGUGCCGUGAAAUCCAUCGGGUUUCCUUUUCAAAUUAUUAUUUAGUUUGACCACUAAUAAUUUGCAUUCAAAUUAUCACCUAAAUAUUGAUUUUUAUCUAAUUAAACAUUUGGAGAAGCGUGUAUAUGUCUGGUUUUACUUGAAAACCAUUCAGAUUUUAUAUUAUUUGGUUAUUCAAUAGUGAAAUCGUCGAAGCGGUAUAUUGCCACUAUGUAAUUUCAAUAGUGCGUGCGUAUCACAACUUUGAAUCUUGAGUGAGAUUGUAAAAUUCUGCUACUGUGUUCUUUGCUACUACAGUUAAAAUUGUAGAAGUUGACUUUA